AUUGAACGCUGGCGGCAGGCUUAACACAUGCAAGUCGAACGAUGACUAACUAGCUUGCUAGUUAUGAUUAGUGGCGGACGGGUGAGUAACAUUUAGGAAUCUGCCUAGUAGUGGGGGAUAGCUCGGGGAAACUCGAAUUAAUACCGCAUACGACCUACGGGUGAAAGGGGGCGCAAGCUCUUGCUAUUAGAUGAGCCUAAAUCAGAUUAGCUAGUUGGUGGGGUAAAGGCCUACCAAGGCGACGAUCUGUAACUGGUCUGAGAGGAUGAUCAGUCACACCGGAACUGAGACACGGUCCGGACUCCUACGGGAGGCAGCAGUGGGGAAUAUUGGACAAUGGGGGCAACCCUGAUCCAGCCAUGCCGCGUGUGUGAAGAAGGCCUUUUGGUUGUAAAGCACUUUAAGCAGGGAGGAGAGGCUAAUGGUUAAUACCCAUUAGAUUAGACGUUACCUGCAGAAUAAGCACCGGCUAACUCUGUGCCAGCAGCCGCGGUAAUACAGAGAGUGCGAGCGUUAAUCGGAAUUACUGGGCGUAAAGCGAGUGUAGGUGGCUCAUUAAGUCACAUGUGAAAUCCCCGGGCUUAACCUGGGAACUGCAUGUGAUACUGGUGGUGCUAGAAUAUGUGAGAGGGAAGUAGAAUUCCAGGUGUAGCGGUGAAAUGCGUAGAGAUCUGGAGGAAUACCGAUGGCGAAGACAGCUUCCUGGCAUAAUAUUGACACUGAGAUUCGAAAGCGUGGGUAGCAAACAGGAUUAGAUACCCUGGUAGUCCACGCCGUAAACGAUGUCUACUAGCCGUUGGGGUCCUUGAGACUUUAGUGGCGCAGUUAACGCGAUAAGUAGACCGCCUGGGGAGUACGGCCGCAAGGUUAAAACUCAAAUGAAUUGACGGGGGCCCGCACAAGCGGUGGAGCAUGUGGUUUAAUUCGAUGCAACGCGAAGAACCUUACCUGGUCUUGACAUAGUGAGAAUCCUGCAGAGAUGCGGGAGUGCCUUCGGGAAUUCACAUACAGGUGCUGCAUGGCUGUCGUCAGCUCGUGUCGUGAGAUGUUGGGUUAAGUCCCGCAACGAGCGCAACCCUUUUCCUUAUUUGCCAGCGGGUUAAGCCGGGAACUUUAAGGAUACUGCCAGUGACAAACUGGAGGAAGGCGGGGACGACGUCAAGUCAUCAUGGCCCUUACGACCAGGGCUACACACGUGCUACAAUGGUAGGUACAGAGGGUUGCUACACCGCGAUGUGAUGCUAAUCUCAAAAAGCCUAUCGUAGUCCGGAUUGGAGUCUGCAACUCGACUCCAUGAAGUCGGAAUCGCUAGUGAUCGCAGAUCAGAAUGCUGCGGUGAAUACGUUCCCGGGCCU
This 1355-nucleotide ribosomal RNA is filed under the name uncultured bacterium. RNAcentral's name for it is "bacterial SSU rRNA". It matches the Rfam family "Bacterial small subunit ribosomal RNA", at positions 28 to 1381 of the family's 1533-position model. The record is from RNAcentral.